Molecule: long non-coding RNA, 2116 nt
Organism: Adelges cooleyi (spruce gall adelgid)
Lineage: Eukaryota; Metazoa; Arthropoda; Insecta; Hemiptera; Adelgidae
Exons: 5
Source: RefSeq, a predicted model, not a curated record
AGAUAGUCAUGCCGAAUAUGAAGAUCUCAAAUAUCGAAAACCUAUCUAGAUGCCACAUCAUGUCGUCAGAUUUUGUAUUUUAUGCUGUCAUUGCACAGACAUAAACGUAUGCGUGUGGCGAAAACCCCUUGACCGUAAUAUAUUAGUCUCCGGUUGUACAACUCCACCUUCUCGGUUGUUUUAUUCAGAUUUUUUAACAUUCGCCAGCGCGCGUACAACCAUUUCCUGUGCUGUCACGACGGCGACGCGCCCGGAACCAGUUUAUCCUCUUGGCCGUCGCUCAGGCACUGGAGGUUCAUUCAUCGAUUGUCCCCACCAAAAGCAUCUUUCGAGCUCAUUCAAGAAACCUAGGCGCAAUAUACUGGCAUGGCGCAGGCUUGUUGUGUACUGCAGUUGUUACUUAUUAGGUACUUUACAUAAAUGUUGUUUUUUUUCUUUUAGUUUUGUAUUAAAUUAUUUUUGGCCGCUGUUCGGUGUUCGACACAAGGACACCUUGGCAGACUGACUCAUUAAAUCGCGCACCUGUGCAAUGUCUCGAGGAUAUUAACCACCAGGACUCGUACCUAUAUAAACAUACGUUUAAAAAUACAUGCAAAUAGUUUUCAAUGAUAUGUAUACAAUUAAUUAUAACAUAACCCGUAGGUACGCUACCUGACAAUUUUGGUGCCGCAAAACUGUAACAUCAGGACAAUUCAAGCGUUCCAGUCCACAUGCCUCCGCUUGGUCACCAAAGCUUCGUGGUACGUCACAAAUAACUCCCUACAUGAAGACCUCAAAAUCACAACAGUCAAAAAGACCGCAUCUAUAUUCUACCUAAGACGACACUCCAAAAUGCAAUGCCAUUCAAACCGACUUGUCACCCAGCUGCACUCAAAAACACUUCCGGGCAAUCCAAACAGACGCCUCAAACGUAAUUGGUCCAGAGACCUACUCAAUUGGCAUCAGUCUCCUCCUCCAUUGACUCCUGAUGACGUAUACGAUGGGGUUCCGAACUUCUACAUAAUAUAUCGAGAAUACUGUACCUCAACACGUGGUGGCCUGGCGAUAGCCUACAAAGAGUUUAAGCUGAGAACGCGAUCUUCAACGUGUUCCCACUUGAUAAUCUAUCUACAGGGGCCGCGCCAUCGUUAAACCCGUCAUUUCUUUCAGAGUACUCUUACAAGAUGUCUACUGUUUACAAACUGUACUUUAUUGCUUAAAAACGAACGAGGAUACGAUAAUAUAAUAAUAAUUUCACAUACUAAAAUCUAAAAAAAAACGCUUAAAACGCGUGUCUAUUGUCUCGAGUCACCUAACUAAUUUCAUUACUGUGACUAUAUCAAUAACGAAUGUAUAUUCACCUACGUUCUUCCUUUGAAGUGCUCGACACUGCUAAAGGUGCCAAGGCUUUGACCAGCAUUACUUCUCUUACUGAAAUUAUUCCGAAGGUAUACGACCGCAAAAUCGCUUAUUAAUUAGCCGACUAUCUGUGAUCACGUGCCGGCCUUACAGGCGAAGACCAGCUGUAGCGUUGAUGAGAAAACCAUUUUGACCAUUCUUCGAGGAAAUUAUUCAAUUGGCACAGACGUUAAGUCAAUAAAAAACCAUACACCGUAAGCGGUUAGCGUGUGGCAAAGAAACACAAACGUUACUUAUCAAAAUACAAUUUCGAAGGAGAAAGAAAAAAAAUGUUAUAGAAGAUAUUGUAGACUUGGGCAUAUCUCAUUUAGCUUAAAAACACGAAUCGGGACUUGGGUUAAUUGUUAACAGCUGUUAAGUCUACUAUAAAGUUGAAUAAUUUUAAUAAAAAUGGUCUUAAUAUGGUCAGUUAGUUGUGUUAGUUGUUUAUGGUAUUUCAAGAAAAUUAUUUUUCACAUAGACCGGAUAGCUGCCAAUCAUUAUCCUCUAUUUUAUUAUGAAAAACAGGUGAAUGACCGAAUGAUCAUCAUAAUAUUAUUAUCUUGUGCUGACGACCGACAUUGCCUUUAAAAAAAACGUGUUACGCCGUACAGUUAACUUAGUGUUUGGCACGAAAACGAUUUGAAAAGUAAAAACAAACGCUCAACUGUGCACCGAUGGCAGGGGUCAAGUUCACCGAAAUUGUUCUAAAGCCGACACAAAUCACUCGGCAACAUCA